RNAcentral lists this ribosomal RNA (277 nucleotides) under uncultured bacterium. RNAcentral describes it as "partial 16S ribosomal RNA". It matches the Rfam family "Bacterial small subunit ribosomal RNA", at positions 28 to 310 of the family's 1533-position model. The record is from RNAcentral.
GAUAAACGCUGGCGGCGUGCCUAAUGCAUGCAAGUCGAACGGUCUAACAGCAAUGUUAGAUAGUGGCAAACGGGUGAGUAACACGUGGGAACCUGCCCAAGAGUGGGGAAUAACUCCUCGAAAGAGGAGCUAAUACCGCAUACGGUCGGUAGUGAGAGCUACACGACUAAAGUUCGUAAGGACGCUUUUGGAGGGGCCUGCGGCCUAUUAGUUAGUUGGUGGGGUAACGGCCUACCAAGACGAUGAUAGGUAGCUGGUCUGAGAGGAUGGACAGCCA